UGCCAGCCGCCGCGGUAAUACGGAGGGUGCAAGCGUUAUCCGGAUUCACUGGGUUUAAAGGGUGUGCAGGCGGUUUUGUAAGUCAGUGGUGAAAGCCCAGAGCUCAACUCUGGAACUGCCAUUGAUACUGCGAAACUUGAGUUCAGUUGAAGUAGGCGGAAUGUAGCAUGUAGCGGUGAAAUGCUUAGAUAUGCUACAGAACACCGAUUGCGAAGGCAGCUUACUAAACUGUUACUGACGCUGAGACACGAAAGCGUGGGGAGCGAACAGGAUUAGAUA
Molecule: ribosomal RNA, 279 nt
Filed under: uncultured bacterium
Lineage: Bacteria
Description: partial 16S ribosomal RNA
Rfam family: Bacterial small subunit ribosomal RNA
Source: RNAcentral